RNAcentral lists this ribosomal RNA (460 nucleotides) under uncultured bacterium. Its description in RNAcentral is "partial 16S ribosomal RNA". It matches the Rfam family "Bacterial small subunit ribosomal RNA", at positions 338 to 795 of the family's 1533-position model. The record is from RNAcentral.
CCUACGGGUGGCAGCAGUGAGGAAUAUUGGUCAAUGGACGCAAGUCUGAACCAGCCAUGCCGCGUGCAGGAAGACGGCUCUAUGAGUUGUAAACUGCUUUUGUACGAGGGUAAACGCAGAUACGCGUAUCUGUCUGAAAGUAUCGUACGAAUAAGGAUCGGCUAACUCCGUGCCAGCAGCCGCGGUAGUACGGAGGAUUCCAGCGUUAUCCGGAUUUAUUGGGUUUAAAGGGUGCGUAGGCGGUCGGAUAAGUUAGAGGUGAAAUCCCGAGGCGCAACUUCGGAAUUGCCUCUGAUACGGUUCGGAUAGAGAGUAGUUGCGGUAGGCGGAAUGUAUGGUGGAGCAGUGAAAUGCUUAGAGAUCAUACAGAACACCGAUUGCGAAGGCAGCUUACCAAGCUACUUCUGACGUGGAGGCACGAAAGCGUGGGGAGCAAACAGGAGUAGAUACCCUAGUAGUC